UACGUAGGGUGCGAGCGUUAAUCGGAAUUACUGGGCGUAAAGCGUGCGCAGGCGGUUUUGUAAGUCAGAUGUGAAAUCCCCGGGCUUAACCUGGGAAUGGCAUUUGGGACUGCAAGGCUUGAGUGCGGCAGAGGAGACUGGAAUUCCCGGUGUAGCAGUGAAAUGCGUAGAUAUCGGGAGGAAUACCGAUGGCGAAGGCAGGUCUCUGGGCCGUACCUGACGCUGAGGCGCGAAGGCUAGGGGAGCGAACGGG
Molecule: ribosomal RNA, 253 nt
Filed under: uncultured bacterium
Lineage: Bacteria
Description: partial 16S ribosomal RNA
Rfam family: Bacterial small subunit ribosomal RNA
Source: RNAcentral